Molecule: long non-coding RNA, 390 nt
Filed under: Dromaius novaehollandiae (emu)
Lineage: Eukaryota; Metazoa; Chordata; Aves; Casuariiformes; Dromaiidae
Description: lncRNA (ENSDNVG00000006390.1)
Source: RNAcentral
UAGAACCUGUCAUUUCAUGUUGUUGUUUUCAGGCUGACAUAAAUGACAGGACAAAGGAGCAUACAUUGAAAUAAAAUGAAAAUUCAGAACAGAUGUCAAGAAGCAUUUUUCAUGUUGAAUGUACAGAGUGGCCAACCAGAAUGCAGCAGUUCUGAGAUGAUACAUUCCAGCAGGAGGAAUUUACCCUCGUUGCAUUUUAAGUUCUAACUACUGGAUGGAGCUACACAAACACACAACUAUCAGUGAAUACUUAACACUUGUAACUGCAGCAAAAUACUACCCUGUAUUUAUUUGAGUUUCCCUGAGUUGGCCAACAACAGGUAUGUAUCCUUGAGUUUUGUAUGUGGAGGGUAGGUGGGUAAGUCAGUGACGGACUGAGCUGGAAUUGGC